RNAcentral lists this long non-coding RNA (1529 nucleotides) under Anas platyrhynchos platyrhynchos (common mallard). Its description in RNAcentral is "lncRNA (ENSAPLG00000017507.1)". The record is from RNAcentral. Lineage: Eukaryota; Metazoa; Chordata; Aves; Anseriformes; Anatidae.
GCUGUUUUACAUCCAUCAGAGCCCUGCUACAUACCAAAGAAAAGAUUCAUUUUUGACAAUAGUUGUCAGCAGUAAGAGCUGCAGAACUGGUGCUAACACAGCCUCGCCUCGCUCCAAGCACAAAGACAAACUGUGUUCAGCAUCGUUUCAGGAAGCAAGGUUUUCAUCGGGCUGGCCCAAGCAGGUUUUAUGAGCCUCCCUCAAGUCCAUCUGGGUGCAAGGGGGGAGCAUAAGUGCUUUUUGGAGAGUUGCUUCACUUCACAGUUUCUGAAGGCUUAUGCUAAAUCACAGCCUGAACACUCAAAACCAACAGCUUGAUGGCUUUGCCUCUCAUCUCGUAGUGAAAUGAUGGGUGCUGAGGUGAGAAGGCACCGCCGGGAGAGACCUGGGUAGGCACCGGUGUGCACGGAAGGAAACAGAAAGACUCUAGCUUGGAUUAGCAGUGUCUGCCUGCCUCCAAGGUGGGUUUCUCAAGGCUGAGAGCACCGGGGUAUCUCUACAGGCUGAUGCUUCUCUGGAAGGCCUUGAAUGUGAAGGUGCUUUGUCAUGGGAACUGUGCCAUAUAUGGGCUAAGCAAAGCUAUUUGCAAAACUCUAGUCAAAUGCAGCAGGUCAUUCCAGCUGGGUAAAACACCCAGCAUUUGUGGGAAUAGGUCUUCAGUCAUUUCUGGCUUAUUGAAAACAGUUCUUUUUUUUUUUUUUUUUUUCUUUUUUUCUGAAGCACUGUUUUGUUCAGACAUUUUGCUGGAUGACAUUUUUAAACUGCAAAAUCUGGAACCAAAAGUAAAAACAAAACCAAAAUGAUCUUUUGGGUUGGGCAGUCUUGUGUCGAUCGUGAAAAAGGGUUUUGGAAAUAAUUGUUUUUGCUUUGGCAAAAGAACCUGACAAUAUUUUUAGUUACGGGUUGUCCUGAGAGUGUUUUUUCCCUGUUUCUUUGUUGUUGCUCAGUCUUUGAGGAGCCCUCCAACAUUCCUGCCAGCUGAGAUGUUGGGGAUUUGUCACUCAGAGGGGAACACACCUGGGCCCAGCAAGACCAACUGGGUGCAGAAUGAGGGCAGGACUGGCUCUGACAGCAGAUUCCUGGUGACACAGUUGAGAGUAGAUGUGGAUGGACAUCUUUUACCCCCUGCUUAUGUGAGCAAAGAGAUUUCCGUGCCUCUCUCUGCCUGGCCUUCAGCACCAAAUGGACUUGCCAGUGAAAGAAGAGUGUGGUGGCUUUCAGAUCAAAUCAUCUUUGCCAGCCAAAGCAGUGUCUUCUUCCCUGCUUCUAAGAGGCAUGAGCUUAAUCAACGAGUCUCGGAGUGGGGUGUAUCUACAGUCGUAGCUGUGAAGAGAGGUGAUUAUUCCUCCCUAAUAAUUCAGUUUCGCAUAAGGAAAUUAUCACACACACAGGGGCGUGCACCUUCCUCUGUUCUGUCAACAUGCGCUGCUAGAAAGAUUUAUUCCAGUAAUAAGGUCUUUGCAGUGAAACUUAACAAAAACGAGGGGGCAAGUUUAUUAAUUAUAUAUUUUACAGUUAAUGAAACAUAA